UUUUUCUUUUCUUCUUCGAUCAUCGUAUAAAGAGAGAGAGAGAGAGAGAGAGAGAGAUCGAGAAAAAUCGAAAUUUUUUUUGUUAGGAAAAAACCGAGAAAUCUUUUUCCUCUAGUAUCUCAACGUUUUUAUUAUUGAGCGAACGAUCGUUGAUUCUCCUCCAAGAGAAAUCUCGUUUUCCUUAUUUUCCGGAAAUUUACAUUGUUUAAACAUUUAUAAGGUAUCGCAGUGAGAAAAGAGAAUUCAUUUAUUACGCAAUUAAAAAAGAUAUAUAUAUAUAUAUAUAUAUAUAUAUAUAUAUAUAUAUAUAUCUAAUGUACGUACAAUGAUUGUCUCAUCGAAUUGAAAUUGAUCAUUACUUUCGUAUUCUUUCCUCGAGAAGAACAAGGAAAAGAUAUCGUUUAUACGAUACACGGAAUAAUAAAUGAGAAUUUGUGAAUAUAUCCAAUUAAUUUAUUCUUCAAAUAGAACGUGGAAUUUCGCGAAUAAUUUUUUCUUUCUUUUUUUUUUUUUUUCUUUCUUUUCUUCGUUGCAAUGUUUGAAUUGGGAAUUUUCUUGCGCCGGACCUGGGACUAUCCACUUUGCCCCCUCUACCGUCGCUAACGGGUACUCUCUCGACCUACGACGAUGACGACGACACGCGAACGGUGACGAACGGCGACGAACGAUGAUGACCGUGACUCAUUUGUUCUCUCACCAAAUUCUACCUCUUGCUACGUAUCCGCCCCUGCUAAUUACACGACCCUAAUGUGUACACUUGUUUUCAUAGUAAUUCGGUAUCUCUCACCGUUGGUGGUCAAAAUAUAAAUAUAUGUGUGUUCGCGCUGGCACGUUUAGACUAACUUUCGCGAUUCAUUCUCACGAGAAAGACACGUGUGUCCAAGAAUGUGCUGCGACCCGUGGCCGAUUCCUAUCGUUAGAACCAAAAACGUACCACUCGAUUGGUCAUUUAUUUUAGCGCGAUAUUUACGCGAAAGAUGUCGUUUUCAUCGAGUUGUACGAGACGAAAUAUUGCCUUUCAACUUCUUCCCCAUCAUUUUAAAAUCUUUAUAAUCGAUCAAGAGAUCUUUAUGAUCGAUAAAAAAGAGAAUGUAAGAGAAAGAUAAAAAGAGAGAGAGAGAGAGAGAGAGAGAGAAUAAAUAAUAAUUUCUUUUAGCCUAUUUGCAUUCGUAAAUAUAUAUAUAUAUGGCCUAAAGUGUCUUUUAUUAUCAAUCAUAUUAUCAAUUACAUAGGUAUUAUCAUAGAGAUAUAUCAAAAGAAAAGAUAUCGUAAAAUUGACAACUAUAUCACUCGUCUAUGUCUAUAUCAACUAUAUCUCUCUCGUUUAUUUCUAGUAAUUUUUUGUAGUUACGUAACAAUAGUUAAUUGGGUAAAAUCAAUUCAUCCUGGUAAUUGUAAAACAAUUAAAGUGCAACUUGUUAUAGUAGCUAAGAAUUACUUAUAUCCGAAUUCUUAUCGUCACUAGUUUCAACGAUUUUAUUUUCGAGAUUACAACUACGUAGAUAAGACUAUGAUACGCCGUAAAUUAUGAUGCUGUUAUUUACUGACUCAUCAAAUAAUAAAGUCUUAUGCACCAGAACUAGGAUAUGAUUUAUGUAUUAUGUUUGUUGACUCUAUUAACAUCCGAAUUAUGUGACGAUAUAUAUAUAUAUAUAUAUAUAUA
Molecule: long non-coding RNA, 1663 nt
Organism: Vespa crabro (European hornet)
Lineage: Eukaryota; Metazoa; Arthropoda; Insecta; Hymenoptera; Vespidae
Exons: 2
Source: RefSeq, a predicted model, not a curated record